AGGGAAAUAGCUCAGUGGUAGAGCACAUGCUUAGCAUGCAUGAGGCCCUGGGUUCAAUCCUCAGUACCUCCA
RNAcentral lists this transfer RNA (72 nucleotides) under Camelus bactrianus (Bactrian camel). It matches the Rfam family "tRNA". From Rfam's summary of the family: Transfer RNA (tRNA) molecules are approximately 80 nucleotides in length. Their secondary structure includes four short double-helical elements and three loops (D, anti-codon, and T loops). The record is from Rfam by way of RNAcentral. Lineage: Eukaryota; Metazoa; Chordata; Mammalia; Artiodactyla; Camelidae. RNAcentral also lists the same sequence under 2 other names.